GACGAACGCUUGCGGCGUGCUUAACACAUGCAAGUCGAACGGAAAGGCCCUGCUUUUGUGGGGUGCUCGAGUGGCGAACGGGUGAGUAACACGUGAGUAACCUGCCCUUGACUUUGGGAUAACCUCAGGAAACUGGGGCUAAUACCGGAUAGGAGCUCCUGCUGCAUGGUGGGGGUUGGAAAGUUUCGGCGGUUGGGGAUGGACUCGCGGCUUAUCAGCUUGUUGGUGGGGUAGUGGCUUACCAAGGCUUUGACGGGUAGCCGGCCUGAGAGGGUGACCGGCCACAUUGGGACUGAGAUACGGCCCAGACUCCUACGGGAGGCAGCAGUGGGGAAUAUUGCACAAUGGGCGGAAGCCUGAUGCAGCAACGCCGCGUGCGGGAUGACGGCCUUCGGGUUGUAAACCGCUUUCGCCUGUGACGAAGCGUGAGUGACGGUAAUGGGUAAAGAAGCACCGGCUAACUACGUGCCAGCAGCCGCGGUGAUACGUAGGGUGCGAGCGUUGUCCGGAUUUAUUGGGCGUAAAGGGCUCGUAGGUGGUUGAUCGCGUCGGAAGUGUAAUCUUGGGGCUUAACCCUGAGCGUGCUUUCGAUACGGGUUGACUUGAGGAAGGUAGGGGAGAAUGGAAUUCCUGGUGGAGCGGUGGAAUGCGCAGAUAUCAGGAGGAACACCAGUGGCGAAGGCGGUUCUCUGGGCCUUUCCUGACGCUGAGGAGCGAAAGCGUGGGGAGCGAACAGGCUUAGAUACCCUGGUAGUCCACGCUGUAAACGGUGGGUACUAGGUGCGGGGUCCAUUCCACGGGUUCCGUGCCGUAGCUAACGCUUUAAGUACCCCGCCUGGGGAGUACGGCCGCAAGGCUAAAACUCAAAGGAAUUGACGGGGCCCCGCACAAGCGGCGGAGCAUGCGGAUUAAUUCGAUGCAACGCGUAGAACCUUACCUGGGUUUGACAUGGAUCGGGAGUGCUCAGAGAUGGGUGUGCCUCUUUUGGGGUCGGUUCACAGGUGGUGCAUGCCUGUCGUCAGCUCGUGUCGUGAGAUGUUGGGUUAAGUCCCGCAACGAGCGCAACCCUUGUUCACUGUUGCCAGCACGUUAUGGUGGGGACUCAGUGGAGACCGCCGGGGUCAACUCGGAGGAAGGUGGGGAUGACGUCAAGUCAUCAUGCCCCUUAUGUCCAGGGCUUCACGCAUGCUACAAUGGCUGGUACAGAGAGUGGCGAGCCUGUGAGGGUGAGCGAAUCUCGGAAAGCCGGUCUCAGUUCGGAUUGGGGUCUGCAACUCGACCUCAUGAAGUCGGAGUCGCUAGUAAUCGCAGAUCAGCAACGCUGCGGUGAAUACGUUCCCGGGGCC
Molecule: ribosomal RNA, 1346 nt
Filed under: uncultured bacterium
Lineage: Bacteria
Description: partial 16S ribosomal RNA
Rfam family: Bacterial small subunit ribosomal RNA
Source: RNAcentral